GAUGAAGAACGUAGUGAAAUGCGAUAAGUAAUGUGAAUUGCAGAAUUCAGUGAAUCAUCGAAUCUUUGAACGCACAUUGCGCCCGCUAGUAUUCUGGCGGGCAUGCCUGUCCGAGCGUCAUUUCAACCCUCAAGCCCCCGGGCUUGGUGUUGGGGAUCGGCGAGCCUCCGCGCCCGCCGUCCCCUAAAUCUAGUGGCGGUCUCGCUGUAGCUUCCUCUGCGUAGUAGCACACCUCGCACUGGGAAACAGCGCGGCCACGCCGUUAAACCCCCAACUUCUGAACGUUUGACCUCGGAUCAGGUAGGAAUACCCGCUGAACUUAAGCAUAUCAAAGCGGAGGA
This 341-nucleotide unclassified non-coding RNA is filed under the name soil metagenome. RNAcentral's name for it is "partial contains 5.8S ribosomal RNA, internal transcribed spacer 2, and large subunit ribosomal RNA". The stretch from base 1 to 120 matches the Rfam family "5.8S ribosomal RNA", at positions 35 to 154 of the family's 154-position model. The record is from RNAcentral.